ACGGGUGAGUAACACGUGGAUAACCUACCUAUAAGACUGGGAUAACUUCGGGAAACCGGAGCUAAUACCGGAUAACAUAUUGAACCGCAUGGUUCAAUAGUGAAAGGCGGCUUUGCUGUCACUUAUAGAUGGAUCCGCGCCGUAUUAGCUAGUUGGUAAGGUAACGGCUUACCAAGGCAACGAUACGUAGCCGACCUGAGAGGGUGAUCGGCCACACUGGAACUGAGACACGGUCCAGACUCCUACGGGAGGCAGCAGUAGGGAAUCUUCCGCAAUGGGCGAAAGCCUGACGGAGCAACGCCGCGUGAGUGAUGAAGGUCUUCGGAUCGUAAAACUCUGUUAUCAGGGAAGAACAAGUGUGUAAGUAACUGUGCACAUCUUGACGGUACCUGAUCAGAAAGCCACGGCUAACUACGUGCCAGCAGCCGCGGUAAUACGUAGGUGGCAAGCGUUAUCCGGAAUUAUUGGGCGUAAAGCGCGCGUAGGCGGUUUUUUAAGUCUGAUGUGAAAGCCCACGGCACAACCGUGGAGGGUCAUUGGAAACUGGAAAACUUGAGUGCAGAAGAGGAAAGUGGAA
RNAcentral lists this ribosomal RNA (577 nucleotides) under uncultured bacterium. Its description in RNAcentral is "bacterial SSU rRNA". It matches the Rfam family "Bacterial small subunit ribosomal RNA", at positions 102 to 666 of the family's 1533-position model. The record is from RNAcentral.